Molecule: long non-coding RNA, 602 nt
Organism: Stegodyphus dumicola
Lineage: Eukaryota; Metazoa; Arthropoda; Arachnida; Araneae; Eresidae
Gene: MESR6
Source: RefSeq, a predicted model, not a curated record
UUUCAGGGUCACCUGUACAGAGUCGUACUUCGUGAGUGAACUUGCUUGGUGCCCCGCGGAGGAACUGGAGAGCGCUCGUGACGUCACGCUUGAGGUCUGUACCCUGAGGGAGCCUCAGGACGAACUCACCUCCGCAGAUGUUCUUCAAAAAGCUGCCCUAAGCCCCGAUGUCAAGAAUGGUCUUGAUGGUCGACCCUAUUUGCUGGAUAUCGACUUGGACUUCUAUUCUACAAGAAAUCCUUUCCUGAGCUUAUUUAACGAAGAGCAAUUUAGUAUUCUACGACAGCUGUAUCAUUAUCAACAUCCAGAACAGCUCACCGAAGCGGCUUUACAGGAAGCAACAUCCAGAAGACGAGAGCAACUGUCCGACUUGGAAUCUAUCUUCAACAGUGUGAGGGAUGGAGUGCCUCUUCCACCUUCUCAACGGUAACGUAACUAACCCAUUCACGUAAACAUUUGUAAUAGUAAACUGGCAACGUGUUUGAUAGAUGGAUUUUACCCCUUUGCGGCUAGUCGAGGGACGCGUCGGAUGGCCAUCCGUUAAUCCAUCUGCAGAAAUUGUCAGUGGACAGUUAGGAGUACACAUUCUGGCCAUACGUCCA